CUACUCUCAACCUACCUGGUGGAGGGAGGUAGCCAUGAAACAACACACUUCCACAUGACGAUCGCUCCAGUUCUUCACAAAGCAGUAAGCGUCGGACUGACCAUAUCAGUGACAAACAGAGAUGUAAGCUCAGUCAGCAUGACAAUAGAGUGGCACUUCCUCUCCCAUACCAUUCGCCAGAAGUCCUGCACAGUGUGAGCUAAAGGUGCCUGAGUAGCUAUAAAGUAAUCCUUCUUCCUAUAACCCUGCAAAGGUAAUGCUCUAAAAGUGCCUGAUAAAUGAAUGAAUACUGCAUCUGUGGGCGAGAGAGAAGAAAUCAGUGGCCAGUCACUGCUGAAAUGAGUCCAAUACAGAAGAAGGACUGCACAAAGU
Molecule: long non-coding RNA, 372 nt
Organism: Carassius auratus (goldfish)
Lineage: Eukaryota; Metazoa; Chordata; Actinopteri; Cypriniformes; Cyprinidae
Exons: 3
Source: RefSeq, a predicted model, not a curated record